GAGGGCAUAACUCAGUGGUAGAGCACAUGCUUAGCAUGCACGAACUCCUGGGUUCAAUCCCCAGUACCACCA
Molecule: transfer RNA, 72 nt
Filed under: Camelus bactrianus (Bactrian camel)
Lineage: Eukaryota; Metazoa; Chordata; Mammalia; Artiodactyla; Camelidae
Also listed under: 2 other names
Rfam family: tRNA
About the family: Transfer RNA (tRNA) molecules are approximately 80 nucleotides in length. Their secondary structure includes four short double-helical elements and three loops (D, anti-codon, and T loops). Further hydrogen bonds mediate the characteristic L-shaped molecular structure. tRNAs have two regions of fundamental functional importance: the anti-codon, which is responsible for specific mRNA codon recognition, and the 3' end, to which the tRNAs corresponding amino acid is attached (by aminoacyl-tRNA synthetases). tRNAs cope with the degeneracy of the genetic code in two manners: having more than one tRNA (with a specific anti-codon) for a particular amino acid; and 'wobble' base-pairing, i.e. permitting non-standard base-pairing at the 3rd anti-codon position.
Source: Rfam by way of RNAcentral